RNAcentral lists this ribosomal RNA (410 nucleotides) under uncultured bacterium. Its description in RNAcentral is "bacterial SSU rRNA". It matches the Rfam family "Bacterial small subunit ribosomal RNA", at positions 29 to 426 of the family's 1533-position model. The record is from RNAcentral.
AACGAACGCUGGCGGCGCGCCUAAUACAUGCAAGUCGAGCGAGAAGGUGUAGCAAUACACUUGUAAAGCGGCGAACGGGUGAGGAAUACAUGGGGUAAUCUACCAUCGAGUGGGGAAUAACCAACCGAAAGGUUGGCUAAUACCGCGUACGCCUCCGGAUCUUCGGGGUUCGGAGGGAAAGCUGCACUGUGAGUGUAGCGCUCUUUGAUGAGCUCAUGUCCUAUCAGCUUGUUGGUAGGGUAACGGCCUACCAAGGCUUUGACGGGUAGCUGGUCUGAGAGGACGAUCAGCCACACUGGCACUGCGACACGGGCCAGACUCCUACGGGAGGCAGCAGUAAGGAAUAUUGCGCAAUGGGCGAAAGCCUGACGCAGCGACGCCGCGUGGGGGGAUGAAGGUCUUCGGAUUGU